UGGGGAAUAUUGGACAAUGGGCGAAAGCCUGAUCCAGCCAUGCCGCAUGUGUGAAGAAGGUCUUCGGAUUGUAAAGCACUUUAAGUUGGGAGGAAGGGCAUUAACCUAAUACGUUAGUGUUUUGACGUUACCGACAGAAUAAGCACCGGCUAACUCUGUGCCAGCAGCCGCGGUAAUACAGAGGGUGCAAGCGUUAAUCGGAAUUACUGGGCGUAAAGCGCGCGUAGGUUGUUUGUUAAGUUGGAUGUGAAAUCCCCGGUCUCAACCUGGGAACUGCAUUCAAAACUGACUGACUAGAGUAUGGUAGAGUGUGGUGGAAUUUCCUGUGUAGCGGUGAAAUGCGUAGAUAUAGGAAGGAACACCAGUGGCGAAGGCGACCACCUGGACUAAUACUGACACUGAGGUGCGAAAGCGUGGGGAGCAAACA
This 427-nucleotide ribosomal RNA is filed under the name uncultured bacterium. RNAcentral's name for it is "partial 16S ribosomal RNA". It matches the Rfam family "Bacterial small subunit ribosomal RNA", at positions 355 to 774 of the family's 1533-position model. The record is from RNAcentral.